Molecule: ribosomal RNA, 433 nt
Filed under: uncultured bacterium
Lineage: Bacteria
Description: bacterial SSU rRNA
Rfam family: Bacterial small subunit ribosomal RNA
Source: RNAcentral
ACCAGACUCCUACGGGAGGCAGCAGUGGGGAAUAUUGCACAAUGGGGGAAACCCUGAUGCAGCGACGCCGCGUGAGUGAUGAAGUAUUUCGGUAUGUAAAGCUCUAUCAGCAGGGAAGAUAAUGACGGUACCUGACUAAGAAGCUCCGGCUAAAUACGUGCCAGCAGCCGCGGUAAUACGUAGGGGGCAAGCGUUAUCCGGAUUUACUGGGUGUAAAGGGAGCGUAGACGGCAUAGCAAGUCUGAAGUGAAAGCCCAAGGCUCAACCAUGGGACUGCUUUGGAAACUGUUAAGCUAGAGUGCUGGAGAGGUAAGCGGAAUUCCUAGUGUAGCGGUGAAAUGCGUAGAUAUUAGGAAGAACACCAGUGGCGAAGGCGGCUUACUGGACAGUAACUGACGUUGAGGCUCGAAAGCGUGGGGAGCAAACAGGAUUA